This 2902-nucleotide ribosomal RNA is filed under the name Klebsiella pneumoniae. RNAcentral's name for it is "23S ribosomal RNA". It matches the Rfam family "Bacterial large subunit ribosomal RNA". Lineage: Bacteria; Pseudomonadati; Pseudomonadota; Gammaproteobacteria; Enterobacterales; Enterobacteriaceae. The record is from RNAcentral.
GGUUAAGCGACUAAGCGUACACGGUGGAUGCCCUGGCAGUCAGAGGCGAUGAAGGACGUGCUAAUCUGCGAAAAGCGUCGGUAAGGUGAUAUGAACCGUUAUAGCCGGCGAUGUCCGAAUGGGGAAACCCAGUGCAAUUCGUUGCACUAUCGUUAACUGAAUACAUAGGUUAACGAGGCGAACCGGGGGAACUGAAACAUCUAAGUACCCCGAGGAAAAGAAAUCAACCGAGAUUCCCCCAGUAGCGGCGAGCGAACGGGGAGCAGCCCAGAGUCUGAAUCAGCUUGUGUGUUAGUGGAACGGUCUGGAAAGUCCGACGGUACAGGGUGAUAGUCCCGUACACCAAAAUGCACAGGUUGUGAACUCGAAGAGUAGGGCGGGACACGUGGUAUCCUGUCUGAAUAUGGGGGGACCAUCCUCCAAGGCUAAAUACUCCUGACUGACCGAUAGUGAACCAGUACCGUGAGGGAAAGGCGAAAAGAACCCCGGCGAGGGGAGUGAAAAAGAACCUGAAACCGUGUACGUACAAGCAGUGGGAGCACCUUCGGGUGUGACUGCGUACCUUUUGUAUAAUGGGUCAGCGACUUAUAUUCUGUAGCAAGGUUAACCGUAUAGGGGAGCCGCAGGGAAACCGAGUCUUAACUGGGCGUUAAGUUGCAGGGUAUAGACCCGAAACCCGGUGAUCUAGCCAUGGGCAGGUUGAAGGUUGGGUAACACUAACUGGAGGACCGAACCGACUAAUGUUGAAAAAUUAGCGGAUGACUUGUGGCUGGGGGUGAAAGGCCAAUCAAACCGGGAGAUAGCUGGUUCUCCCCGAAAGCUAUUUAGGUAGCGCCUCGUGAAUUCAUCUUCGGGGGUAGAGCACUGUUUCGGCUAGGGGGUCAUCCCGACUUACCAACCCGAUGCAAACUACGAAUACCGAAGAAUGUUAUCACGGGAGACACACGGCGGGUGCUAACGUCCGUCGUGAAGAGGGAAACAACCCAGACCGCCAGCUAAGGUCCCAAAGUCAUGGUUAAGUGGGAAACGAUGUGGGAAGGCACAGACAGCCAGGAUGUUGGCUUAGAAGCAGCCAUCAUUUAAAGAAAGCGUAAUAGCUCACUGGUCGAGUCGGCCUGCGCGGAAGAUGUAACGGGGCUAAACCAUGCACCGAAGCUGCGGCAGCGACACUAUGUGUUGUUGGGUAGGGGAGCGUUCUGUAAGCCUGCGAAGGUGUGCUGUGAGGCAUGCUGGAGGUAUCAGAAGUGCGAAUGCUGACAUAAGUAACGAUAAAGCGGGUGAAAAGCCCGCUCGCCGGAAGACCAAGGGUUCCUGUCCAACGUUAAUCGGGGCAGGGUGAGUCGACCCCUAAGGCGAGGCCGAAAGGCGUAGUCGAUGGGAAACAGGUUAAUAUUCCUGUACUUGGUGUUACUGCGAAGGGGGGACGGAGAAGGCUAUGUUAGCCGGGCGACGGUUGUCCCGGUUUAAGCAUGUAGGCUGGUUGUCCAGGCAAAUCCGGAUAAUCAAGGCUGAGGUGUGAUGACGAGGCACUACGGUGCUGAAGUAACAAAUGCCCUGCUUCCAGGAAAAGCCUCUAAGCAUCAGGUAACAUCAAAUCGUACCCCAAACCGACACAGGUGGUCAGGUAGAGAAUACCAAGGCGCUUGAGAGAACUCGGGUGAAGGAACUAGGCAAAAUGGUGCCGUAACUUCGGGAGAAGGCACGCUGGUGUGUAGGUGAAGCCCCUGCGGGUGGAGCUGAGACCAGUCGAAGAUACCAGCUGGCUGCAACUGUUUAUUAAAAACACAGCACUGUGCAAACACGAAAGUGGACGUAUACGGUGUGACGCCUGCCCGGUGCCGGAAGGUUAAUUGAUGGGGUUAUCCGUAAGGAGAAGCUCUUGAUCGAAGCCCCGGUAAACGGCGGCCGUAACUAUAACGGUCCUAAGGUAGCGAAAUUCCUUGUCGGGUAAGUUCCGACCUGCACGAAUGGCGUAAUGAUGGCCAGGCUGUCUCCACCCGAGACUCAGUGAAAUUGAACUCGCUGUGAAGAUGCAGUGUACCCGCGGCAAGACGGAAAGACCCCGUGAACCUUUACUAUAGCUUGACACUGAACAUUGAGCCUUGAUGUGUAGGAUAGGUGGGAGGCUUUGAAGCGUGGACGCCAGUCUGCGUGGAGCCAACCUUGAAAUACCACCCUUUAAUGUUUGAUGUUCUAACGUUGGCCCCUUACCGGGGUUGCGGACAGUGUCUGGUGGGUAGUUUGACUGGGGCGGUCUCCUCCCAAAGCGUAACGGAGGAGCACGAAGGUUAGCUAAUCCUGGUCGGACAUCAGGAGGUUAGUGCAAUGGCAUAAGCUAGCUUGACUGCGAGCGUGACGGCGCGAGCAGGUGCGAAAGCAGGUCAUAGUGAUCCGGUGGUUCUGAAUGGAAGGGCCAUCGCUCAACGGAUAAAAGGUACUCCGGGGAUAACAGGCUGAUACCGCCCAAGAGUUCAUAUCGACGGCGGUGUUUGGCACCUCGAUGUCGGCUCAUCACAUCCUGGGGCUGAAGUAGGUCCCAAGGGUAUGGCUGUUCGCCAUUUAAAGUGGUACGCGAGCUGGGUUUAGAACGUCGUGAGACAGUUCGGUCCCUAUCUGCCGUGGGCGCUGGAGAAUUGAGGGGGGCUGCUCCUAGUACGAGAGGACCGGAGUGGACGCAUCACUGGUGUUCGGGUUGUCAUGCCAAUGGCACUGCCCGGUAGCUAAAUGCGGAAGAGAUAAGUGCUGAAAGCAUCUAAGCACGAAACUUGCCCCGAGAUGAGUUCUCCCUGAGACUUUAAGUCUCCUGAAGGAACGUUGAAGACGACGACGUUGAUAGGCCGGGUGUGUAAGCGCAGCGAUGCGUUGAGCUAACCGGUACUAAUGAACCGUGAGGCUUAACCUU